GGGUUGCUGGGGUUGUGUAACUGUGCCUAGAGGGCGGGGUUCCUGUACAUUCCUACUUCACCAGAUAACCUGCCCCCAACACCACUUCAGCUUCUGCCAGACAGAUGGAACUCUCCAGCCUGAAAAUCUGCACAGCCAUUCCAACAAGCAGGGCUCUGCCUGAGGUUGUCCGAAGGAUGCCGAGAAAAAGGAUAUCAGGACUGGAAGCGCUCUUACAGCAAAGAUCCAGGUUUUUCAUUAGUCAAUACAGUGAAGGCUGGCAUGAUCAUCAGCUUCCCAUCAAAUAAUAUCUACUCAUCAGUGUGCUGUUACCAAUCAGAGAUUUUCAAGCAUGAGUUCUCCAACUCAAAGAAAAGUAGCUGGAUCCAGGAAGAAAGGCAUUUGGGGAGGAACAACGUUCUUUACAGUGCUCAGGAUGUGUCUCCAGAGAAAGUUACUUCAGCACUAAACAAACAAACAAACAACAAUAAACAACUUUCCUCUACAGUAUUUUCCAGGCUCUAAACUAUUAGACAGGCUCCUAACUUUAUCCAGAUCUCUCCCAUGUCUGAAUUCUUGGUCAUCUUCCUUGCCUCUGGCUCCACAGGUAAAGAAG
Piliocolobus tephrosceles (Ugandan red Colobus) is the source of this 595-nucleotide long non-coding RNA. RefSeq lists it as uncharacterized. NCBI's taxonomy places the organism in Eukaryota, Metazoa, Chordata, Mammalia, Primates, Cercopithecidae. The transcript has 3 exons. The record is from RefSeq and is a predicted model, not a curated record.